UACGAAGGGGGCUAGCGUUGCUCGGAAUUACUGGGCGUAAAGGGCGCGUAGGCGGACAGUUAAGUUGGGGGUGAAAGCCCGGGGCUCAACCUCGGAAUUGCCUUCAAUACUGGCUGUCUUGAGUACGGGAGAGGUGUGUGGAACUCCGAGUGUAGAGGUGAAAUUCGUAGGUAUUCGGAAGAACACCAGUGGCUAAGGCGACACACUGGCCCGUUACUGACGCUGAGGCGCGAAAGCGUGGGGAGCAAACAGG
RNAcentral lists this ribosomal RNA (253 nucleotides) under uncultured bacterium. RNAcentral describes it as "partial 16S ribosomal RNA". It matches the Rfam family "Bacterial small subunit ribosomal RNA", at positions 524 to 776 of the family's 1533-position model. The record is from RNAcentral.